GACGGGACCCGCACAAGCGGUGGAUGAUGUGGUUUAAUUCGAUGCAACGCGAAAAACCUUACCCACCUUUGACAUGUACGGAACCCUUUAGAGAUAGAGGGGUGCUCGAAAGAGAGCCGUAACACAGGUGCUGCAUGGCUGUCGUCAGCUCGUGUCGUGAGAUGUUGGGUUAAGUCCCGCAACGAGCGCAACCCUUGUCAUUAGUUGCUACAUUCAGUUGGGCACUCUAAUGAGACUGCCGGUGACAAGCCGGAGGAAGGUGGGGAUGACGUCAAGUCCUCAUGGCCCUUAUAGGUGGGGCUACACACGUCAUACAAUGGCUGGUACAAAGGGUUGCCAACCCGCGAGGGGGAGCCAAUCCCAUAAAGCCAGUCGUAGUCCGGAUCGUAGUCUGCAACUCGACUACGUGAAGUCGGAAUCGCUAGUAAUCGUGGAUCAGAAUGUCACGGUGAAUACGUUCCCGGGUCUU
RNAcentral lists this ribosomal RNA (469 nucleotides) under uncultured Rhodoferax sp. RNAcentral's name for it is "bacterial SSU rRNA". It matches the Rfam family "Bacterial small subunit ribosomal RNA", at positions 916 to 1381 of the family's 1533-position model. The record is from RNAcentral. Lineage: Bacteria; Pseudomonadati; Pseudomonadota; Betaproteobacteria; Burkholderiales; Comamonadaceae.